AAAUGACAUUGUAGGGUAGGUGUAAGAGGCUGGAUAUGGCUGGUUUGAACAUAAAGCAGAUAGACUAUUUGGGCCAGAUGUGGCUGGUAUAAAUACUA
Octopus sinensis (East Asian common octopus) is the source of this 98-nucleotide long non-coding RNA. RefSeq lists it as uncharacterized. The transcript is spliced from 3 exons. NCBI's taxonomy places the organism in Eukaryota, Metazoa, Mollusca, Cephalopoda, Octopoda, Octopodidae. The record is from RefSeq and is a predicted model, not a curated record.